GGGUUGUGAGGUUAAGCGACUAAGCGUACACGGUGGAUGCCCUGGCAGUCAGAGGCGAUGAAGGACGUGCUAAUCUGCGAUAAGCGUCGGUAAGGUGAUAUGAACCGUUAUAACCGGCGAUUUCCGAAUGGGGAAACCCAGUGUGAUUCGUCACACUAUCAUUAACUGAAUCCAUAGGUUAAUGAGGCGAACCGGGGGAACUGAAACAUCUAAGUACCCCGAGGAAAAGAAAUCAACCGAGAUUCCCCCAGUAGCGGCGAGCGAACGGGGAGCAGCCCAGAGCCUGAAUCAGUGUGUGUGUUAGUGGAAGCGUCUGGAAAGGCGCGCGAUACAGGGUGACAGCCCCGUACACAAAAAUGCACAUGCUGUGAGCUCGAUGAGUAGGGCGGGACACGUGGUAUCCUGUCUGAAUAUGGGGGGACCAUCCUCCAAGGCUAAAUACUCCUGACUGACCGAUAGUGAACCAGUACCGUGAGGGAAAGGCGAAAAGAACCCCGGCGAGGGGAGUGAAAAAGAACCUGAAACCGUGUACGUACAAGCAGUGGGAGCACGCUUAGGCGUGUGACUGCGUACCUUUUGUAUAAUGGGUCAGCGACUUAUAUUCUGUAGCAAGGUUAACCGAAUAGGGGAGCCGAAGGGAAACCGAGUCUUAACUGGGCGUUAAGUUGCAGGGUAUAGACCCGAAACCCGGUGAUCUAGCCAUGGGCAGGUUGAAGGUUGGGUAACACUAACUGGAGGACCGAACCGACUAAUGUUGAAAAAUUAGCGGAUGACUUGUGGCUGGGGGUGAAAGGCCAAUCAAACCGGGAGAUAGCUGGUUCUCCCCGAAAGCUAUUUAGGUAGCGCCUCGUGAAUUCAUCUCCGGGGGUAGAGCACUGUUUCGGCAAGGGGGUCAUCCCGACUUACCAACCCGAUGCAAACUGCGAAUACCGGAGAAUGUUAUCACGGGAGACACACGGCGGGUGCUAACGUCCGUCGUGAAGAGGGAAACAACCCAGACCGCCAGCUAAGGUCCCAAAGUCAUGGUUAAGUGGGAAACGAUGUGGGAAGGCCCAGACAGCCAGGAUGUUGGCUUAGAAGCAGCCAUCAUUUAAAGAAAGCGUAAUAGCUCACUGGUCGAGUCGGCCUGCGCGGAAGAUGUAACGGGGCUAAACCAUGCACCGAAGCUGCGGCAGCGACGCUUAUGCGUUGUUGGGUAGGGGAGCGUUCUGUAAGCCUGCGAAGGUGUGCUGUGAGGCAUGCUGGAGGUAUCAGAAGUGCGAAUGCUGACAUAAGUAACGAUAAAGCGGGUGAAAAGCCCGCUCGCCGGAAGACCAAGGGUUCCUGUCCAACGUUAAUCGGGGCAGGGUGAGUCGACCCCUAAGGCGAGGCCGAAAGGCGUAGUCGAUGGGAAACAGGUUAAUAUUCCUGUACUUGGUGUUACUGCGAAGGGGGGACGGAGAAGGCUAUGUUGGCCGGGCGACGGUUGUCCCGGUUUAAGCGUGUAGGCUGGUUUUCCAGGCAAAUCCGGAAAAUCAAGGCUGAGGCGUGAUGACGAGGCACUACGGUGCUGAAGCAACAAAUGCCCUGCUUCCAGGAAAAGCCUCUAAGCAUCAGGUAAUAUCAAAUCGUACCCCAAACCGACACAGGUGGUCAGGUAGAGAAUACCAAGGCGCUUGAGAGAACUCGGGUGAAGGAACUAGGCAAAAUGGUGCCGUAACUUCGGGAGAAGGCACGCUGAUAUGUAGGUGAAGUCCCUCGCGGAUGGAGCUGAAAUCAGUCGAAGAUACCAGCUGGCUGCAACUGUUUAUUAAAAACACAGCACUGUGCAAACACGAAAGUGGACGUAUACGGUGUGACGCCUGCCCGGUGCCGGAAGGUUAAUUGAUGGGGUCAGCGCAAGCGAAGCUCUUGAUCGAAGCCCCGGUAAACGGCGGCCGUAACUAUAACGGUCCUAAGGUAGCGAAAUUCCUUGUCGGGUAAGUUCCGACCUGCACGAAUGGCGUAAUGAUGGCCAGGCUGUCUCCACCCGAGACUCAGUGAAAUUGAACUCGCUGUGAAGAUGCAGUGUACCCGCGGCAAGACGGAAAGACCCCGUGAACCUUUACUAUAGCUUGACACUGAACAUUGAGCCUUGAUGUGUAGGAUAGGUGGGAGGCUUUGAAGUGUGGACGCCAGUCUGCAUGGAGCCGACCUUGAAAUACCACCCUUUAAUGUUUGAUGUUCUAACGUUGACCCGUGAUCCGGGUUGCGGACAGUGUCUGGUGGGUAGUUUGACUGGGGCGGUCUCCUCCUAAAGAGUAACGGAGGAGCACGAAGGUUGGCUAAUCCUGGUCGGACAUCAGGAGGUUAGUGCAAUGGCAUAAGCCAGCUUGACUGCGAGCGUGACGGCGCGAGCAGGUGCGAAAGCAGGUCAUAGUGAUCCGGUGGUUCUGAAUGGAAGGGCCAUCGCUCAACGGAUAAAAGGUACUCCGGGGAUAACAGGCUGAUACCGCCCAAGAGUUCAUAUCGACGGCGGUGUUUGGCACCUCGAUGUCGGCUCAUCACAUCCUGGGGCUGAAGUAGGUCCCAAGGGUAUGGCUGUUCGCCAUUUAAAGUGGUACGCGAGCUGGGUUUAGAACGUCGUGAGACAGUUCGGUCCCUAUCUGCCGUGGGCGCUGGAGAACUGAGGGGGGCUGCUCCUAGUACGAGAGGACCGGAGUGGACGCAUCACUGGUGUUCGGGUUGUCAUGCCAAUGGCACUGCCCGGUAGCUAAAUGCGGAAGAGAUAAGUGCUGAAAGCAUCUAAGCACGAAACUUGCCCCGAGAUGAGUUCUCCCUGACCCUUUAAGGGUCCUGAAGGAACGUUGAAGACGACGACGUUGAUAGGCCGGGUGUGUAAGCGCAGCGAUGCGUUGAGCUAACCGGUACUAAUGAACCGUGAGGCUUAACCUUACAACGCCGAAGGUGUUU
Molecule: ribosomal RNA, 2931 nt
Filed under: Escherichia coli
Lineage: Bacteria; Pseudomonadati; Pseudomonadota; Gammaproteobacteria; Enterobacterales; Enterobacteriaceae
Description: bacterial LSU rRNA
Rfam family: Bacterial large subunit ribosomal RNA
Source: RNAcentral